UCGGGAAUUUUGCACAAUGGACGAAAGUCUGAUGCAGCGACGCCGUGUGAACGAUGAAGUCCUUCGGGAUGUAAAGUUCUGUCAGCAGGGACGAUUAUGACGGUACCUGCAGAGGAAGCUCCGGCUAACUAUGUGCCAGCAGCCGCGGUAAUACAUAGGGAGCGAGCGUUAUCCGGAUUUAUUGGGCGUAAAGCGCGUGUAGGCGGUUUUAUAAGUUAGGUGUUAAAGCCAUCGGCUCAACCGAUGACCGCACUUAAGACUGUAAGGCUAGAGUUUGGGAGAGGGAAGGGGAACUAACAGUGUAGCGGUGAAAUGCGUAGAUAUUGUUAGGAACACCAGUGGCGAAGGCGCCUUCCUGGACCAAAACUGACGCUAAAAGGCGAAAGCGUGGGGAGCAAACAGG
This 403-nucleotide ribosomal RNA is filed under the name uncultured bacterium. RNAcentral describes it as "bacterial SSU rRNA". It matches the Rfam family "Bacterial small subunit ribosomal RNA", at positions 355 to 776 of the family's 1533-position model. The record is from RNAcentral.